This 142-nucleotide unclassified non-coding RNA is filed under the name uncultured Hyaloscypha. Its description in RNAcentral is "partial internal transcribed spacer 2". Lineage: Eukaryota; Fungi; Ascomycota; Leotiomycetes; Helotiales; Hyaloscyphaceae. The record is from RNAcentral.
UAACCACUCAAGCCUAGCUUGGUAUUGGGGUUCGCCGUCCCGCGGCCCUUAAAAUCAGUGGCGGUGCUGCCUAGCUCUAAGCGUAGUAAUUUUCUCGCUACAGGGUCCGGGUGGUUACUUGCCAAAACCCUCCACUUCUCAC